Molecule: long non-coding RNA, 5370 nt
Filed under: Cricetulus griseus (Chinese hamster)
Lineage: Eukaryota; Metazoa; Chordata; Mammalia; Rodentia; Cricetidae
Description: lncRNA (ENSCGRG00015040829.1)
Rfam family: Deleted in lymphocytic leukemia 2 conserved region 4 (bases 2572-2629)
Source: RNAcentral
CUCCCCUACCACCCUCCCAACUAAAACCCUACCUAUCACAAACCCUUUCUACUCCCCAGGGAGGGUGAGGCCUUCUAUAGGGGGUCUGGCAUGAAAUUCUUAAAUGUGGACAACAAUGUGCACUCCAAGAUUUUAAACUAUCAAUGUUAUGUAUUUUUAAAUUAAUUUUUCUGUGAAUGUAUAUGUGCAAGUAUGCCAUGAGUGUUUGGGUGCCUGCAGAAAAGAAAGUGCUGAUUCCCCUUGACCUGGAAAUACAGUUUGUUGUGAGCUGCCCAAUAUAGGCUGCUGUAGGUUCUCGGAACCAGGUAUGGGCCCUCUGGAAGAGCAGCAAGUGCUCUUAACCAAAGCAAAUCUCUCUGGCCCCUCAAAUAAUAUUUUAAAUUUGCAUAAAAUAAAUAGAUAAUUUAAGUUUAUGUAACUAAAAUGCAAUGGGGGAAAUAAAAGCUUUUAAAAAAAGAAAAAGCGAGGAGAAAAAAGCAAGAAAACUGUGAUAUUUUGAAUUUCUUUCUCCUCCUCCUCCUCCUCCUCCUCCUCCUCCUCCUCCUCCUCCUCCUCCUUCUUCUUUUUUCGAGACAGGGUUUCUCUGUGGCUUUGGAGGCUGUCCUGGAACAGCUCUUAUAGACCAGAGCGAGUGCCAGGAUAGGCUCCAAAACUACAAAAAAAAAAAAAAAAAAAAAAAAAAAAAAAAAAAAACUUUAAAGUGGAAAGUAAACUUAAAAUUUCUUUAUGCAACUUGGAAAAAUGAGUACAAAAUACUACCAUUAUUCAAAUGAGAGCACCUAACAUAUUAACACCAUUAUGCCACUUCUAGGACAUCCAUAUUCCAAAGAUGAAGGGCUAGGGAGGUAAAGUGCUUGUCUAGAUUCCUUUAAAGCCUUGGGUUCCAUCUCUAUCACUGCAAAGAAAACAGAAAUUAAAAAAAAAAAAAAAAAAAAGCCACUACGAAAACCCUUCUUAUACACUAUCCAUAAAAUUAAUAACUUAAAAGAAAUUAUUAUGUUAAAAGAAAAUAUGGUAUUAAAUAAACAGUAAAAGAAAGAGAGACACAAGCACAGAAAACCAUGUAGGGUCGUGUAAAGUGGGCCACAGUAGGAGCCGACAGUAGGAGUAGAGUAUCAACUGGAAAACUGUCAUUUUUAGUAACUUAAAGGAAGGCUGAAGUUGGUUUCCAAGGGUUCAAUUAAGGAACCCAAGCCUGUACUGUACAGGAUUCUUUAGGGUUUUGUAAAUGUUUUCAUUCUAAUUUCCUAGAGAUAAAAAUAUGCAAGAAAAACUUUUACAAGAAAAAACAAACAAAAACAGCCUGUAGCAUUUUGCUACUAAUAAGACAAAGUUUUCAAUAUUUCUUUAUCUUACCUCCCAUUGAGUCCCAUCUCCUCCUCCCCCCUGGGAGGGGCGCAACAACACAGAUACACAUAACGUUGAUGACACACAUUCUCACUACUUGACUUGAAAGGAUUCAUCUGUGAUCAUAAGGUUAUCUAACAUACAUGGGUUUUGGAUUACUAAUGCAAUGUGUGAGACAAUGGAAGAGAAACAUCUGAAGCACUAACUUUCAUUUAAAUGGGGCCCCCUAACCCUUAGGAACAGAAAUUUGAGUCUGAGUUUUUUUUUUUUUUUUUGAGAGAUGCAAAAUUAGCUCAAGAAGUAGAUGGAAAUGAAUCUUUUGUUAAUUUCAGAGUCUGGAAUACUUUCAUAGAAAUAAUUAUCUGUGUGUAUUUAACAUGAACUUAUUAAUAUGCCAGUUUUUCUGGAGAUAUAUUAAUUUCAGCUAACCUGUUAGAAUCAUUCUGUUGUAAUGUAUAGUUUUCCAAAUUUAAAUCAGGAAAAAUUUUAAUGUGUGCAAGUGUGUGCAUACAGACAGAAAAGAGAUUGCCUUUGCUGUUUUUCCUAUCUCCUGAAGUUUUAAAAACUAAGUGUAAAAAGUUUCUUACAAAGAAGUCUCAAAUUAAUGCAAAAACAAAAAAUAUUUCAAGAGGCUACUUUCAAGCUAUAAAACUGCAAGAUCAAUAAACUUGAAUAAUGAUAAUAAAAAAUACCAUUACUAGGACUGGAAAGAUGGAUGGCUCCUGGUUAAGAGUACUUCUUGUUCUUGUAGAUACCAGGGUUCCCAGCACCCAUAUGGUGGUACACAACCAACACCUUAGAACUCCAGUUCCAGGGGAUCCAUUGCCCUCUUCUGGCCUCCACGGACACCAGGCACAGUACACAUGUAUAUGCAGUCAAACCCACAUAAAAUAAAAAUAUGUAAGCCUUAAAAAAAUCUUUAGUUAUUUUUAAACUUUGGAGAAAUGAUUUAAUAUUGUGAUUCUCAGACUUGGAGAUAACAGAGCCUUUCUAGAAAAUACUUUCCACACUAGUAAAGUAACCUACAGCAAUGAAAUCAUUCUUGUUCUAAACUAAAGUAAAAUCAAACAUUAACGAAUAUAGAGCUGAGGGAGACUUAAGCUAUUCUAGGAUAGACAGAAAAUAAUCAGAAGUGAAUGGAAACAUGACAGCAAAUAGUAAGUUUUUGUAGUAAUGGUGGUGGGUCACUGAGGAGGGAACUGGAAGCUAAUACUUACAAAAUAAUUGUUGGGCUAUUUAGAGGGCUGUUCUAGUAAUAUCUUCAUUUUAGCAUUGUUAAACCUAUGAAAAAAAGAAUGAAGACUUUAAAAUUUGAGCUUAUUACAGAUGCAAAAACAUUUUCAACUCAUGUCAGCAAUCAUUGUUUUCUGAUUCUUACACAUAGAAUCACAGAUUACAAUUUACCAGCAGUAGUGUUUGUAAUUUCAAUUCAGUGCAUUGUCAUUAAGUCUGCAAAAUGUGCUUUCCCAGUAAAACUACUUUCUGAUUAUUUAAAACUCAUGUAUGUCAAGUGUAGCUAACACUGCUAACUUGGGGUAUGCGGAGUUCUGAGGAUAACACAAAAUUCCAAGUAUUUUACAUUAAUUCCAGAUCACAUCCCAAGAUAUUUCCCUUUCUUCUCUCCAUCCACAGCACACCUCCACACACAAAGUCUACACACUUCCCUAUUACAAGAACUCUAAUACAAUAUAGAAAACCACAAAGAGCUUAAAAUGCAUUGAAAAAAAAAUCAGUGGGAAUAAAACAUUAUGAGAUGACCACAACAAAAUAUUGUUCAAAAAUUGCCUGAAGCAAAAAAUAACUGAAAGUAGUGAUAAAGAAAGGAUAAAGAAAGUAGAGCCCUUGAACCAUAGCAGGAAUAUACUACAGACCAGCCUUUAAAACAUCCUAGUAACUUUAGUUAGUCACAAUAUUUUAUUUCUUUGAGACAUUAUAUACUGUGUUCCUAUUAUUUGAGACAGUCUUGUUAAUAAGGCCCUGCCUGGCCUUAAACUUGGGAUCCUCUUGUCUCAUCUUCCCAAGUGCCGGAUUACUGGAAUAUGCAAACAUAACUACACACAAUUACUUAUUGAAAGAAUACACAAAAUCUUUUAUGCUUUUACCAGAACAUUCCUAGUGCAUAUUUAUUGCAGAUUACUUUCUCACAAAAGGGUGCAUUUCUUUUUAUUUCAAAAUUCACCAAUCCCCUUCAAUAAUGCCAACAUGAAAUCUAUACUUUAACAUGAAGCUCCACCCCAAAUCCAGCUCUAUUGAAGUGUUAAACAAUAUCCCAAUUAUACACUAGAUCCUGAUGUGCCAAGCCCUAGUCGCAUUCCUUUAGGAUGUAACUACAAUCUUGAAUUUGGUAUUUACUUCCUAUGCAUGUUUUUUUACACUAUAACUACAAAUUUAACUGUUAUACACAUAUGUUACUUUCCGCAAAGGUUAAUUUUUUGCUGAGUACAGUCAUCCAGAAUAAUAUACACAACUCUUAUUUUAAUGGCUAUGCAGUAUAACUAUGUCACAUUGUGUAAUGGGGGUCUACUAUAACUUCAACUGUAUUAUAACAUUUCCAAGUGCUCCACAAACUAGAGAAAAACUUGUAUUUUCCCCAACAUUUGAAAAUACAUUUAAGAAAAAUACCUACUUCUGUGUAGAAAUGAACAUUUUUUAAUGUUUAGUUUUUAUCUUAUUAUUGACAUCUAUUGUAUAUAUAUGGGUGCUUUACCUGCAUGAAUGUCUGAAUGCUAUUUGCAUGGCUGGUGCCCACAGAAGAAGGUGUCAGAUUUCCUACAACUUGGGCUGUGAGCUGCCAUGUGGGUUCAGGGAACUGAACCUGGGUCCUCUGUAGGAGCAAUAAGUGCUCUCUCUUAACAGUUGAGCCAUCUCUCCAUCCAACUGCUCUCAAGUGUGUAUAACAUUAACAUAGGGUCAAAAUUUGUCCCAAAACAUUUCACAAAAAUAAAAGUUCUGAAAACAGAUUGUUCUUCAUAUGACUAAGGAAAUACCAACACUUAGAAGUGCUGUAGAAAUGAUAAGAUUCCUAAUUAGAUACUGAACUUUGUUAGAUCCAAGAUAACCAAUAGCUGAGAUAUGGUGGAUGAACCAGAUGUCAUGAUUUGGUAUGAACAGUCCUUUCCGCCCCACCUCAUUUAUUGUGGUGUUCCUUUAAGGGGCGGUGGGGGGGGGGAAUCCUUUAGACCUUGUAAAAGGCAUAAAUUCUGGACAUCUAGGACCACAAUUUUAAUUAAGCAGGUCAGGAAAAAUGCUUUAUUUUAGAUCAUUCUAGUAGUCAGUCCACAGACAUUCAGCAGGAGUCAAUCAGGGUGGCAGAUAUUUUUAACAGAGGAUUAUGCAUCUAACUUUUAGGUUAAGCAUGUGUAGUAUUAUUAUGCCUUUCUGUCAAAUUACAUCAACAUAAAAACAGUAGUAGCCUAAAAAAGCAAUUUCAAUUUAUAAUUUCAUAAUGCCAGAAUAGACUGUGGUCUCAAUUAUUAAUUCAGAUAAAUAAACGCACAAUGUGACAAAAGCCAUUUUUGUUAGCAAUACCAAAGAAAUGAUAUUCUGAGUUUACUAUGACUGGUAAAGCAAACAUUAAGCACAUGGGGAUGGAUCAGAAGCGAUUUUAAGGCUGGAGAAAUGGCCCAGCUGUUAAAGGCUAGGCUCACAACCAAGAAUAUAAGUGAUUUUAAUGAUGAUAACCAAGGAGCAAUGAUGGUUAUCUUUUAAAAAUAUAAUGGCAAACACUGACACAAAACUAAACGUCACUUUUAAUUUUCUACCAAAGUCUUAUAAAUGAAACCAGAACUUUAACAGAGAGCCAAUAUUCACUUACCUAGAAUUGUAAUUAUACAGAUAAAGGGGGAGAAAAACUUAUGUAGAUAAUGCAAGUUAGUGCAAAUAGAAGUAUACACGUCUAUAAAACUAUAUUACUUGAAAUUACAAAGUAAUUUCUAAAAGAUGUAGAAUUUGAUAUGGUAUGUUAAGAACUCAUAAAGUAUGACUAGAAAUAUAAAAUAGUUAAAGGGUUUUCACCUAUGGUGU